GAGUCAAUGUGGAGGCUAUAUACAGGGGGUACCGGUACAGAGUCAAUGUGGAGGCUAUAUACAGGGGGUACCGGUACAGAGUCAAUGUGGAGGCUAUAUACAGGGGGGACCGGUACAGAGUCAAUGUGGAGGCUAUAUACAGGGGGUACCGGUACAGAGUCAAUGUGGAGGCUAUAUACAGGGUAUUACGGUACAGAGUCAAUGUGGAGGCUAUAUACAGGGUAUUACGGUACAGAGUCAAUGUGGAGGCUAUAUACAGGGGGUACCGGUACAGAGUCAAUGUGGAGGCUAUAUACAGGGGGUACCGGUACAGAGUCAAUGUGGAGGCUAUAUACAGGGGGUACCGGUACUGAGUCAAUGUGGAGGCUAUAUACAGGGGGUACCGGUACAGAGUCAAUGUGGAGGCUAUAUACAGGGGGUACCGGUACUGAGUCAAUGUGGAGGCUAUAUACAGGGGGUACCGGUACAGAGUCAAUGUGGAGGCUAUAUACAGGGGGUACCGGUACAGAGUCAAUGUGGAGGCUAUAUACAGGGGGGUACCGGUACAGAGUCAAUGUGGAGGCUAUAUACAGGGGGUACCGGUACAGAGUCAAUGUGGAGGCUAUAUACAGGAGGUACCGGUACAGAGUCAAUGUGGAGGCUAUAUACAGGGGGUACCGGUACAGAGUCAAUGUGGAGGCUAUAUACAGGGGGUACCGGUACAGAGUCAA
This 710-nucleotide long non-coding RNA is filed under the name Salmo salar (Atlantic salmon). RNAcentral describes it as "lncRNA (ENSSSAG00000098293.1)". Lineage: Eukaryota; Metazoa; Chordata; Actinopteri; Salmoniformes; Salmonidae. The record is from RNAcentral.